AUAUUGCACAAUGGGCGCAAGCCUGAUGCAGCAACGCCGCGUGAGGGAUGACGGCCUUCGGGUUGUAAACCUCUUUUAGUAGGGAAGAAGGCUUCGGUUGACGGUACCUGCAGAAAAAGCACCGGCUACCUACGUGCCAGCAGCCGCGGUAAUACGUAGGGUGCAAGCGUUGUCCGGAAUUAUUGGGCGUAAAGAGCUCGUAGGCGGCUUGUCGCGUCUGCCGUGAAAACCUCAGGCUCAACCUGGGGCGUGCGGUGGGUACGGGCAGGCUAGAGUGCGGUAGGGGAGAUUGGAAUUCCUGGUGUAGCGGUGGAAUGCGCAGAUAUCAGGAGGAACACCGAUGGCGAAGGCAGAUCUCUGGGCCGUAACUGACGCUGAGGAGCGAAAGCAUGGGGAGCGAACAGG
This 405-nucleotide ribosomal RNA is filed under the name uncultured bacterium. Its description in RNAcentral is "bacterial SSU rRNA". It matches the Rfam family "Bacterial small subunit ribosomal RNA", at positions 361 to 776 of the family's 1533-position model. The record is from RNAcentral.